CUACGGGAUGCUGCAGUGGGGAAUUUUGGGCAAUGGGCGAAAGCCUGACCCAGCAACGCCGCGUGGAGGAUGAAGGUUUUCGGAUCGUAAACUCCUGUCCCAUGAGACGAAGCAAGUGACGGUAUCAUGGGAGGAAGCCCCGGCUAGACUCCGUGUCAGCAGCCGCGGUAAUACGGGGGGGGCGAGCGUUGUUCGGAAUUACUGGGCGUAAAGGGCGCGUAGGCGGUUUCGGAAGUCAAGGGUGAAAGCCCCGAGCUCAACUCGGGAAUUGCCUUUGAAACCACGGAACUAGAGUGUUGGAGAGGAAAGCGGAAUUUCCAGUGUAGCGGUGAAAUGCGUAGAUAUUGGAAGGAACAUCUGAGGCGAAGGCGGCUUUCUGGACAGACACUGACGCUGAGGCGCGAAAGCCAGGGGAGCGAACGGGAUUAGAUACCCCCGUAGUC
This 443-nucleotide ribosomal RNA is filed under the name uncultured bacterium. RNAcentral's name for it is "partial 16S ribosomal RNA". It matches the Rfam family "Bacterial small subunit ribosomal RNA", at positions 339 to 795 of the family's 1533-position model. The record is from RNAcentral.